GGGCUGGACCCACGCCGACGCCUCAGCUGUAGAAUACACACGCGCUCAUAUCAGCAUUCCCUCAGAGACCUGGCUGGAGGCUCCGAAUGUGGAGUGCGUGGUCGAGGUGGACGGCAGGCGCGUCUCGAAAUCUUAUAAAAAAGCCUCCAGUCAGGUGUGUCCGUGGUUGCUGUAUUUGGGCUCCGGUGUGGUCUUGGCCUUCAUUACCGUGCUCUUCGUUAAGAUAAUGCUUUAUUAAUCGCCAGACGGAGAAAGUAGGGUGUCACAGCAGCAGCAAGACAGGAAGUGUAAUAUACAAGGCUGGAACUGAUCUGCAUCGGAGAACAUGGACGCACCGCAUUAAACCAGAAUUCCUAAUGUUCCUAAAGUUGUU
This is a long non-coding RNA of Ictalurus punctatus (channel catfish), 373 nucleotides long. The record is from Ensembl. NCBI's taxonomy places the organism in Eukaryota, Metazoa, Chordata, Actinopteri, Siluriformes, Ictaluridae.